AGCGGAGGAAAAGAAACUAACAAGGAUUCCCCUAGUAACGGCGAGUGANGCGGGAACAGCUCAAAUUUUAANUCUGGCUGCUUCGCAGUCCGAGUUGUAAUUUGAAGGCGUCUGUCGCAUGUGAGACGAUGGCACAAGUCCUCUGGAACGUGGCAUCGUAGAGGGUGAGAAUCCCGUCUCUGGUCGUUGUCUUGCAGGCACACGGCAGGCGAUCCGAAGAGUCGAGUUGUUUGGGAUUGCAGCUCCAAAUGGGUGGUAAACUCCAUCUAAGGCUAAAUAUUGGCGAGAGACCGAUAGCGAACAAGUACCGUGAGGGAAAGAUGAAAAGAACUUUGAAAAGAGAGUAAAACAGUACGUGAAAUUGUUGAAAGGGAAACGCUUGAAGUCAGUCGUGCCGGCGGGGAUUCAGCGAACUUCGCGGAGUGAGCGUAUUUCCUCGCAUGGCAGGUCAGCGUCAGUUUUGCGCGUCGUGAAAGGGCUCGGGUAAGGUGACUCUCUUCGGGGAGUGUUAUAGGCCUGAGCAGAUGCGAUGCGCGGGACUGAGGAUUGCAGCGGACACCCUUCGGGGCGCGGCGACCGAUCCCUGCUCUGUCACCUUCGUCCGAUAGCGUGCUAACGGUCGGGGGAGCGGCGGUUGCACCGGGUUGGCAAGCCGGCGGCUNCGCUAAGGAUGCUGGCGUAAUGGCUUUAAACGACCCGUCUUG
Molecule: ribosomal RNA, 704 nt
Filed under: Glomeromycotina sp. OTU25 DJMC-2012
Lineage: Eukaryota; Fungi; Glomeromycota
Description: eukaryotic LSU rRNA
Rfam family: Eukaryotic large subunit ribosomal RNA
Source: RNAcentral